This 468-nucleotide ribosomal RNA is filed under the name uncultured bacterium. Its description in RNAcentral is "partial 16S ribosomal RNA". It matches the Rfam family "Bacterial small subunit ribosomal RNA", at positions 28 to 507 of the family's 1533-position model. The record is from RNAcentral.
GACGAACGCUGGCGGCGUGCUUAACACAUGCAAGUCGAACGGAAAGGCCCUGCUUUUGUGGGGUGCUCGAGUGGCGAACGGGUGAGUAACACGUGAGUAACCUGCCCUUGACUUUGGGAUAACUUCAGGAAACUGGGGCUAUUACCGGAUAGGAGCUCCUGCUGCAUGGGGGGGGUUGGAAAGUUUCGGCGGUUGGGGCUGGACUCGCGGCUUAUCAGCUUGUUGGUGGGGUAGGGGCUUACCAAGGUUUUGACGGAUAGCCGGCCUGAGAGGGUGACCGGCCACAUUGGGACUGAGAUACGGCCCAGACUCCUACGGGAGGCAGCAGUGGGGAAUAUUGCACAAUGGGCGGAAGCCUGAUGCGGCAGCGCCGCGUGCGGGAUGACGGCCUUCGGGUUGUAAACCGCUUUCUCCGGUGACGAAGCGUGAGUGACGGUAAUGGGUAAAGAAGCACCGGCUAACUACGUG